GCAGGCCUGGGUAGCUCAGCUGGUUAGAGCAUGGUGCUGAUAACGCCAAGGUUGCAAGUUCGAUCCCCGUUUUUUGUU
This is a non-coding RNA of Podarcis lilfordi (Lilford's wall lizard), 78 nucleotides long. Lineage: Eukaryota; Metazoa; Chordata; Lepidosauria; Squamata; Lacertidae. The record is from the annotation of a GenBank genome assembly.